GUCGAACGGCAGCACAGGAGAGCUUGCUCUCUGGGUGGCGAGUGGCGGACGGGUGAGGAAUACAUCGGAAUCUACUUUUUCGUGGGGGAUAACGUAGGGAAACUUACGCUAAUACCGCAUACGACCUUCGGGUGAAAGCAGGGGACCUUCGGGCCUUGCGCGAUUGAAUGAGCCGAUGUCGGAUUAGCUAGUUGGCGGGGUAAAGGCCCACCAAGGCGACGAUCCGUAGCUGGUCUGAGAGGAUGAUCAGCCACACUGGAACUGAGACACGGUCCAGACUCCUACGGGAGGCAGCAGUGGGGAAUAUUGGACAAUGGGCGCAAGCCUGAUCCAGCCAUACCGCGUGGGUGAAGAAGGCCUUCGGGUUGUAAAGCCCUUUUGUUGGGAAAGAAAACUUGCGGGUUAAUACCUUGCAAGUCUGACGGUACCCAAAGAAUAAGCACCGGCUAACUUCGUGCCAGCAGCCGCGGUAAUACGAAGGGUGCAAGCGUUACUCGGAAUUACUGGGCGUAAAGCGUGCGUAGGUGGUUGUUUAAGUCUGAUGUGAAAGCCCUGGGCUCAACCUGGGAACUGCAGUGGAAACUGGAUGACUAGAGUGUGGUAGAGGGUAGCGGAAUUCCCGGUGUAACAGUGAAAUGCGUAGAGAUCGGGAGGAACAUCCCAUGGCG
RNAcentral lists this ribosomal RNA (668 nucleotides) under bacterium 38-L049660-122-017-F05. Its description in RNAcentral is "bacterial SSU rRNA". It matches the Rfam family "Bacterial small subunit ribosomal RNA", at positions 61 to 717 of the family's 1533-position model. The record is from RNAcentral.